Molecule: ribosomal RNA, 374 nt
Filed under: uncultured organism
Description: partial 16S ribosomal RNA
Rfam family: Bacterial small subunit ribosomal RNA
Source: RNAcentral
GUAGGUGGCAAGCGUUGUCCGGAAUUAUUGGGCGUAAAGCGCGCGCAGGCGGUCCUUUAAGUCUGAUGUGAAAGCCCACGGCUCAACCGUGGAGGGUCAUUGGAAACUGGGGGACUUGAGUACAGAAGAGGAAAGCGGGAUUCCAAGUGUAGCGGUGAAAUGCGUAGAGAUUUGGAGGAACACCAGUGGCGAAGGCGGCUUUCUGGUCUGUAACUGACGCUGAGGCGCGAAAGCGUGGGGAGCAAACAGGGAUUAGAUACCCUGGUAGUCCACGCCGUAAACGAUGAGUGCUAAGUGUUAGGGGGGUUUCCGCCCCCUUAGUGCUGCAGCUAACGCAUUAAGCACUCCGCCUGGGGAGUACGGCCGCAAGGCUG